CUAUUGGUGUUCCGUACGCUGGUUGGUGGAUGGGAGCUGGCUGUUGGGACUAUUCCUGAUCUUUUGAAAAGGCUGCAAAAUAUUCCCCCUCCCUUUUUUUUUCAGUAAGCUUAUGAGCACCUUCUAUCUGCAAAGUAACAUAUCACCUACUACCUCCGUCUCAAAAUAAGAAAACACUUAAUUUUGGAACGGAGGAAGUAUACUCCAAAAUAGGUAUGAGGUUAUAGAAAAUGCACCAUUAAACCUUUUAUUAGAAAAUGUACGCGAACGUUUGGGCCAGCCAGUUUAAUUAUCGAAUGAUGGUACAUAGAGCAAUGUGGCCAGGACAUGUGUUGUAUUUUCAAGGCAAACCCUGGAAAAAAGGGGAUCUAGUUCACGGAUAUUUUCUCAGCUCAUUUUCUACCUAAUUAGCUCAUGCCUGUAACUACAAAAGAGAACGGGACAUUUAUUACUUAUUUAUUUUUGCAGCACGGUCGCUUUCUGGACUUUGGACCAUGAGUGCAGUGUUCAAGCUCCAUGGAGCCCUUUUUCAAAACAUUCACUGCAAAAUAUAUUCAUUGACACUUUUUACUAGAC
This 576-nucleotide long non-coding RNA is filed under the name Hordeum vulgare. Its description in RNAcentral is "long non-coding RNA (HVUL_LNC014692)". The record is from RNAcentral. Lineage: Eukaryota; Viridiplantae; Streptophyta; Magnoliopsida; Poales; Poaceae.